This 548-nucleotide ribosomal RNA is filed under the name uncultured Glomus. RNAcentral describes it as "SSU rRNA". It matches the Rfam family "Eukaryotic small subunit ribosomal RNA", at positions 548 to 1098 of the family's 1831-position model. The record is from RNAcentral. Lineage: Eukaryota; Fungi; Glomeromycota; Glomeromycetes; Glomerales; Glomeraceae.
UUGGAGGGCAAGUCUGGUGCCAGCAGCCGCGGUAAUUCCAGCUCCAAUAGCGUAUAUUAAAGUUGCUGCAGUUAAAAAGCUCGUAGUUGAAUUUCGGGACCAUCAUGUUGGUCGUGCCUCGGUACGUACUGGCAUUGUUGGUUUCUCCCUUCUGACGAACCAUGAUGUCAUUUAUUUGGUGUUGUGGGGAAUCAGGACUGUUACUUUGAAAAAAUUAGAGUGUUUAAAGCAGGCUCACGCUUGAAUACAUUAGCAUGGAAUAAUGAAAUAGGACGUUUGAUUCUAUUUUGUUGGUUUCUAGGAUCGACGUAAUGAUUAAUAGGGAUAGUUGGGGGCAUUAGUAUUCAAUUGUCAGAGGUGAAAUUCUUGGAUUUAUUGAAGACUAACUACUGCGAAAGCAUUUGCCAAGAAUGUUUUCAUUAAUCAAGAACGAAAGUUAGGGGAUCGAAGACGAUCAGAUACCGUCGUAGUCUUAACCAUAAACUAUGCCGACUAGGGAUCGGAUGAUGUUAAUUUUUUAAUGACUCAUUCGGCGCCUUACGGGAAAC